Molecule: unclassified non-coding RNA, 267 nt
Filed under: plant metagenome
Description: partial contains small subunit ribosomal RNA, internal transcribed spacer 1, and 5.8S ribosomal RNA
Source: RNAcentral
UCUCCGUAGGUGAACCAGCGGAAGGAUCAUUACCGUGCAAAAUGUGCGGGUAAUGCGAGGGCUGUCGCUGACUCAAAAGUCGUGCACGCCCGAGUGUGUCCUCUUGCAUAAUACUCCAUCCCACCCUUGGGGCAUCACCGCGUGGGCACCCUCCGCGUUCAUCGCGGAGGCGGGCUCGCGUUCUCACACAAUCCACCCUUUUAUAAGUGUAGCAUGACCACAUUUAUGAAAUCAAUAAAACUUUCAACAACGGAUCUCUUGGUUCUG